Molecule: long non-coding RNA, 1840 nt
Organism: Papaver somniferum (opium poppy)
Lineage: Eukaryota; Viridiplantae; Streptophyta; Magnoliopsida; Ranunculales; Papaveraceae
Exons: 2
Source: RefSeq, a predicted model, not a curated record
AAGCCUAUUUUUCUUGACAUACCCAAAUAAAAAAACCUGCCUAUAUUUUAGAAACAAAGGGAGUAGCUUGAAUUCAUUCAUGCAUGUCUUUUAACAUCAAGUUUCAGUAGUUUGUUCUUCAACUCAUGUCCCUUUCUUUUUUUUUACGCAGCUCCUGUUUAUGAGUUGUUAAUGAUUCGUGAAUUUGCAAUCCAAACCCUUUUGGAAUAGUUGAAACAGUAACAAAGUUUGUUAGCUCCAUCAGGGAUCACUGUGCACCGCUGAAUCUUACCAUGCCACCUUUCUAAGUUUUGAUUUACAUCUUUUUAACACAUAAUUUCCAUCAAAUUUAGUUGCUUCAUUUUGUACAUUUCCAUCAAGAGGGUCUUUAACUGGGACUUACCCUGUUAAUAUGGUUUACGUUAAAAAUUUAUGUGAGUGGAAUUUUUCUUUCUUCAAGCCAUAAACAUCAUUUUGUCACUCUCAAAUUCAGAUAUAUUGUAAUCCUUGGGUUUUCAGGGAACCCGUAGGUCACAGGUAUUCGUACUUGUCUCUUAGAUAAUUAAAAUAUUUUUUGUGUUAAUAUUCAAGAGUUAACAUUUAACAUGGUUAGAUGGCUCUUCCAUAUCUUUCUCAGAUGUAGUUAUGGUGUUAACCAGCAUCACCAGUUGCUAAUUAAUUGCGGAAACUAGGAGAAAGGGGUACAAAAUGUGAGAAUAGCCGUCCAGCACUUAAAAAUACUCAUUUUAUCCUUUUAUUUAAAGAUAUAAAUCCAAGAUAUACCUAGAGUUGAGUUUGUUGUUUCCAUGGACUUUUUGAGGGAGAUGCUGGGAAAAUUGAUGCAUACGACUGAUAUUGAUAUGUAAAGAACUUUAUCAAAUUGAUUUGUUUCGUUGAUGUCUGAAAGACUAGCAAUCUGUGAGUUCUCAUAGUAUGCAGUUAUCAUCUUCAUAGGGAGAAAGAGAGAAGAGAAUGGUUUAGGCAUGGUUUCUCAAUUCUAAUUAACGUGAAGAGUUUGCACAUUGUUGUGAAAGUUCUUUGAGGCUUGAGCUGUGAUCACAUCAUUAUAUGCGGACCUUAUUAUCGCUGCACAAUUAUAUCUGGAAUCUCUGUGAGCACUCUUGGUUUAUUUUCACCACAUGUGCAUUCUGAUCCUCUAGCUUUAAGAGUUAAAUUGUUUGCACUUUCAGUUCUUUUUUCUUGCAUCCAGUUAAAUAUGUGUGGCUAACAUUUAAGGAAGUAUAUGACAUCUUGAUGAGAGUUAGAUUUAAAAUCUGCAGUUGUGGUAUUGAGAAAGUUGAAACGAAAACCAUUAGCAUUCAGAUCUCCGUCAUUGCAAGAGGAAGGUUUUCAUCCCUAUCAACUUCAAAAGUUACAGGCCAACAAAUCAUAUUUGCAAGUUAAUAUCCCAUGUACACCAAGGUGUUCUCUACUCAACGGAAGCGUUCAACCGCACAUACGGGAAACCAAAGCUCAGGCAUUUAAAUAGCGAACUACUUGCUUUUUUUUUUCAAGUGGAAUACAAAUAUUAUAUGUCUGCAGCCAUAUUAGGACUCAAUUCUAAGACACAAGUUUUCCUCCGUCAACUAUGAGAGCUUGGAAUCAAGAAUGAGCGACAACUCCUAAUAGCUUUGCAAUAUAUCGACACUGGAUUAUUUGUAUCAGUGUGGUUGGGGUUUUGAGAUGGCUCACAGAUAUCCUUGAAAACCAUAACAUCCAGUGGUGUAUUAUUCCGAAACUGACAGUCGAGAGAAUCCUUGGUAUACCCAGAAAAUUACUCUUGGCAUCUACUUCCAUCAAGUUAAUCAUUUUAUUUUGUUUUUGGCGGAGAAUCAACAUGCGAAACUGAACCAUUGGGUGA